This 702-nucleotide ribosomal RNA is filed under the name uncultured bacterium. RNAcentral describes it as "bacterial SSU rRNA". It matches the Rfam family "Bacterial small subunit ribosomal RNA", at positions 61 to 804 of the family's 1533-position model. The record is from RNAcentral.
GUCGAACGCCUGUAGCAAUACAGGAGUGGCGCACGGGUGAGUAACGCGUGGGAACCUGCCCUGGAGUGGGGGAUAACCCGGCGAAAGCCGGGCUAAUACCGCAUACGACCUGAGGGUGAAAGAUUUAUCGCUCUAGGAGGGGCCCGCGUCGGAUUAGCUAGUUGGUGGGGUAACGGCCCACCAAGGCAACGAUCCGUAGCUGGUCUGAGAGGAUGAUCAGCCACACUGGGGAUGAGACACGGCCCAGGAUCCUACGGGAGGCAGCAGUGGGGAAACAUUGGACAAUGGGGGCAACCCUGAUCCAGCAAUGCCGCGUGAGUGAUGAAGGCCUUAGGGUUGUAAAGCUCUUUCGGCGGGGACGAUGAUGACGGUACCCGCAGAAGAAGCCCCGGCUAACUUCGUGCCAGCAGCCGCGGUAAUACGAAGGGGGCGAGCGUUGUUCGGAAACUACUGGGCGUAAAGGGCGCGCAGGCGGCUCUGAAAGUCAGAUGUGAAAGCCCCGGGCUUAACCUGGGAAACUGCAUUUGAUACUCUGGAGCUCGAGUACGGGAGAGGAGAGUGGAAUUCCCAGUGUAGAGGUGAAAUUCGUAGAUAUUGGGAAGAACACCGGUGGCGAAGGCGGCUCUCUGGACCGUAACUGACGCUGAGGCGCGAAAGCGUGGGGAGCAAACAGGAUUAGAUACCCUGGUAGUCCACGCCGUA